Otolemur garnettii (small-eared galago) is the source of this 4851-nucleotide long non-coding RNA. RefSeq lists it as uncharacterized. Lineage: Eukaryota; Metazoa; Chordata; Mammalia; Primates; Galagidae. The record is from RefSeq and is a predicted model, not a curated record. The transcript is spliced from 3 exons.
AGAAGGCCACGUAGUACCAGAGCAGCUUCUUGUGCUUCUCCAGGGGCUUCUUCCUAGACCAGAGAAUCCCCAAGGACUCAUUCCGGAGGCCGACAGGUGAUGCUUCUGUCGGAAAACUGAAAGGAAGUCAGGAAGGGAGAGGCAGUGGCUUCUUAAUGUCACUUCCAGUGGGAAUGCCUGAGAAAGCUUCCGGACUGUACCCAUCCCUGAGGCUGGAACAGGAGGGGCUUCCCAUGAAGGUGGAAAUUAGAAAACUCACAUCAUCUCUAAGAGCUAAAGGGGUGAGCGCAGACCUGACCACAGCAGAGGAACUCAGCUUUCAAGAAAGUACCCGUCAAGCAGAAGGGAGUUGAGGUAUUUUGGGAGCAGAGAAAAGGGAAAGCCUGGACCUUUCAGCUCUGGUUGACAGGGCUGAGUUUGGCAUGUCCUGCCCACAGACAGGGCCCUGCCCUUCCGUGGAGGAGGAUGGUGGCCACUCCCUCUGGCUCACGCCUCUGUCUGCCUGAGGCUACCACAGACUGGAAUGUGCUUGGCCCUCAAAGGACAAGCUGGACCACUAGGAGCAGCCUUCAUCAGGCAGCAAAUUGCAGCUGGCGGCUAGACAGCCAGCUUCCUUGCACUCAGAUGGGCAAUGCUGGAGCAGGUUCCUAGAGAUCCCUGGUGAGGUUGAGCCCAAGUUGCCCACAGUGGAAACUUCCGUAUCUGCUCCUUCCCCAUCCCUGGCUCAUUGGCCUCCCCUCUGCCUCCUUGCAUUUGAAUCCCCGCUUUGUGGUCUCCUUCUUGUCCUGUCUCCCCCGACCCCCAUCCCCACCAGGCCAGUGCUGCAUGGCACUGUCACACAAAUCAACAGCAUCACGCUGGGUUCCAUAUCACCAGCAACUUCUAGUCCUGACUACAGGAUCUCUGGUCUGGCGAGCUGGUCCCACAGGCUGGCAGUGAACAUGAUUAUGUGAAUUUUAGGUGAACAUUAAGGACCUAGCAUCUGAAUAAAACAAGACUUGUGAACUUGGGCAGGAGCAGGAGUCAGGUUCCCCAAAACCCAAAGAUCUGAGACACCUGCAAGGUGGAGGUUUGAGGCCUAAGAAGUCAUGAGCAGCGUGUGGCCUGCCUUGGCAGCUGGCCGGCCUCUGGCGUACCUGCCACACACAGCACAGGCUCAGACAGCAGCUGUGGCUCUUUGGGGGUCCUUGUCACAGAUCCCCAGGCUCAUUCAACAUAGCUUAGCAGCAGCAGCAACAAAUGGAUUUUGUUCAUAAACACUUUGCUGCUUAUUGGCUGAUGAAAUAAUGGGCAUAAUGGAUCAUCAGCAAGGUAGACAAUCGACAUGGGGUCAAAUCCCAACACUGCUUCUUCCUAACAGUACAAGCUGGAAGAACAUUCCAGAACCUCUCUGAGCUCCUAGGUCCUCAUAAGUGAAACGGACGACACGCCUGCAGGUGCUGUGAAGAUGAAACACGACCACAGGUACCACAAGUGAGGCUGACAAGCGCCAGUCCGUCCACGUCUGUGUUCCCCACAUACACCCCCACAUUUCUACAGCCUUUGGAGAAAGGGCCCCCCACAGCUGGGACAGCAGGUGCAAACAGCUGCUCAUUGAAUUCAGCGCGGGGAACUUCUAGACUGAUUUCAGGCACGUCACAAUAAUUUCCCUGUUGCUAUUACUGUUACUAACUACUGAAGUGGUGACGGCACCUCUCACAUAUUAACUCAUCAAAUCUUCACAGUGAUCCUCUUCUGAGGAUUUGAUGAGAUACUAUCUCCAUUUCACAAAUGAGCAAACUAAGGCUCAGAGAGCUUGGUAACUGGGCCCCUCAUCACUUAGGAGCACAGUGGCUAAAACCCAGGCAGUGAGACCCAGAGACCUGGCUCAUAAUUACAAUGCUAUACUGUUUGGUUUGUGGAAACGUCAAGAAUAUUCUUUCUCCUGCACUGUCCCUAGAGCAAACUUUUCUUCCAGUGCCUCUAUACUACCAUCUCCGCUAUGGCCACCCAACUACCCCUAUCAUGACUUUCCUAUUGGAGCAGAAGGUUCUUCUUAAUACCUUUUAAACACUGUCAGUAGCAUCUGACAUGGAAACGCCCAUUGGGGGGGAUGGUCUUCGGUGGCAGAAUAUCACUUACCUGGACCCCAGGCUGGGCGAUGAAGUGCCUGUCUGUCGCCUCCACCGCCAGCUCUAGGCAGUUGCUCCCACCCCAAGCUUCACAGGAAUAGACCAGCAGCUGCUCUGCCAAGUCCUCGUCACUGCUAUAACACUCUGUGAACAGCUCUGCAGGGCAGGGAGAGGGACACUGGAGUGGGCUGCACAUACCUGAAACUGUCUACACCACCCAGGCAACCCCUGAGUCCAAGGGCAGCCUGGGUGAGAGAGUCCAGGCUUACAAAAGGCACAGAGGAUGUCACUGAGGCACCAUUCCUGACUGGCAGAUGAGGCAUAGUACAAAAAGGGGGUGGGGCCCUAUAGCAUUAAGGGCAUGCUGUAAGUUGAGCACCCAAGAGACUGCAACAAACUGGUCAACCUAAGUAAGAAACUUGGCCUGUUGUACUGAUUCACACAUGUAGUGUGUGUGUGGUCUAUGAAAAUUAGGUCAACUUAAGGAGGUCAGUGUAGGGAUUUGCAGCUCAAAUCACUGAGUUCAUCUCCUACUGCCACAAGGAGCGCUGAGGGUGUGAUGUACAGAGGUGGCCAGCUGUGGAGGCUCCACCAGGAGCUCUGAGGGUGUGAUGUACAGAGGUGGCCAGCUGUGGAGGCUCCACCAGGAGCUCUGAGGGUGUGGCCUAGGGAGGUGGCCAGCUGUGGAGGCUCCACCAGGAGCUCUGAGGGUGUGGCCUAGGGAGGUGGCCAGCUGUGGAGGCUCCACCAGGAGCUCUGAGGGUGUGGCCUAGGGAGGUGGCCAGCUGUGGAGGGUCUCCUGUAUUCCAUUGCCUAAUGACAAAGAAAUUGGAGUGUAGAUUGUCAGAGGAAACUUUUUUAAAAGUCAAGAUAUUAGGAACCAUUGCCUAAUUGAGGUCAUCUGGAAGUGACCAUAAUAUCCUUAAAAUUUUAGUACAUUAAAAGAAAUAAUUAGACAUCUUUUUCCUAACACAGAGAAGCUAGAAAACCUUUUACAUUAAAGAAGACGAGAGCCAAGCACAGAGGCACACAGCACAUCACAAACUAAAACCCACCAGGUGAAAACAGAAAACGGAGGAGGCCAACACCUCUCUGCUGGUUGGAGGCGACUUCCUGAUUCAUCACAGGCUGAAUGACCUGGCCUCUGCACAGAGGCACUGACAAGCUUUGUUCACGGACUAAACAGCACACAGAGGUCACAGGUCCUGCAACGCUCAGGACGCCCGUCCCCUCCUCCACGCCAGGUAAUGAGCAAUCUCACCGCAGCCCCCACAGAAAGCUCAGAGUCUCCUGACUUCCAGGAAGCACACAACUGGCAGCACCGGCCAUUACUGGAGUCACCUGUGGGGAUUUGGGGCUGGGGAAGCAGCCCACGAUGCUGCUCGGGCCGCUGCCUCUGCCGUCAGUGCUAACCACACGUGUCGCAGACCCAGAGGGCUGGAGUCUUUGGCAGAAUAUUUCUGUAUAUGAAACUGACAGGCUAACUUGUUAGUUCAAAAGUCAGGGUAAAUCUCAGACCUGUCACAGUGUUGUAACAGCAAAACACAAGUCUAAAAUCCAAAGAAACAAAAAAACCCUGCACACCCAAGCAUGUUCACUCUUAGAAACAUCCACAGGGGCCAGGGCCUGGAGGCUGUGGCUUCUGUGUACCCAGAUCUUGGGGCCUGCAGCCCUCAGUAAGGCUGGCAGGGAGAGCUCCGACAUGCCGCUAACCUCAGCCACCUGGCCCGCGAGUGUCACACAUGGCAGACCUGCCCCCACUGUGGUGUCCUAUCACUAGGGACUUGAGUGUCACACGUGGCAGACCUUCCCCCACUGUGGUGUCCUAUCACCAAGGACUCGAGUGUCACACACGGCAGACCUGCCCCCACUGUGGUGUCCUGUCACCAGAGACUCAAGUGUCACAUGUGGCAGACCUGCCUCCACUGUGGUGUCCUGUCACCGGGGACUCGAGUGUCACACACGGCAGACCUGCCCCCACUGUGGUGUCCUGUCACUGGAGACUCAAGUGUCACACAUGCAGACCUGCCCCCACUGUGGUGUCCUGUCACCAUGGACUCAAGUGUCACAUGUGGCAAACUGCCCCCACUGUGGUGUCCUGUCACUGGGGACUCGAGUGUCACACACGACAGACCUGCCCCCACUGUGGUGUCCUGUCACUGGGGACUCACCGACGGCACGGGUCUCAUACUCAUUCGCCAGCUCCUCAGACUCCCCAGCAGCAUUGAUAUCAUUCUUCACUUUGGCCAGAGUCUUCAGGAGCUUGCUGGCCCCCAAGGCUGCCAGAGUACAGCCCCUGGUCUUUUCAUGGGGGGGGGGGGUGGAGAAUUUUACAGUUAAUUCAUAACGCCUUCAAGUCAACACUCCUCAGAGGAGGAACUCAUGGCAGAGGAGGCAAUGGUAGAAUCUAAACUGUUCCUAAUGAUGCAAAGUAAAAUUUGUAAUGAGCACAAAAUAACCCUGAGCCUGGAUGUGCUUGAGGUCUUGAACUUGGAAUCAGCAUACAAAAUAUCAUAUCAAGAUAAAGUCAUGAGAAAAUGACAGAAGACAAUGAUGGUAGGAGGUCUGACUAACCCUCUCUCAUACUGACACAUCUCCAAGAGUUGGUGGGGGGGAGGAUAAGAACACAGAAGACCCAGACAACAUUCCCAGAAAGGCUGCCUGAAUUCCAUAUCCAAUUUCAUUCUCUAAAAAUUGAGAAUGGAGUGCACAUAUCCAUAUAUCGUUUACAAAAAUUAUU